RNAcentral lists this ribosomal RNA (253 nucleotides) under uncultured bacterium. RNAcentral's name for it is "partial 16S ribosomal RNA". It matches the Rfam family "Bacterial small subunit ribosomal RNA", at positions 524 to 776 of the family's 1533-position model. The record is from RNAcentral.
AACGUAGGACGCAAGCGUUAUCCGGAGUUACUGGGCGUAAAGCGCGGGCAGGCGGUUUUGCCAGUCUGAUGUGAAAUCUCUCAGCUCAACUGGGAGCAGCCAUUGGAAACUACAGAACUGGAGUCUGACAGAGGUAGGCGGAAUUCCGGGUGGAGUGGUGAAAUGCGUAGAGAUCCGGAGGAACACCAGAGGCGAAGGCGGCCUACUGGGUCAGUACUGACGCUGAGACGCGAAAGCGUGGGGAGCGAACCGG